Molecule: non-coding RNA, 45 nt
Filed under: Schistosoma curassoni
Lineage: Eukaryota; Metazoa; Platyhelminthes; Trematoda; Strigeidida; Schistosomatidae
Source: RNAcentral
AUUCAUCUGACGAAUCCUAAAUAGGACGAAAUGGAUGUCCUGAAU